CUCCAGACUCCUACGGGAGGCAGCAGUGGGGAAUAUUGCACAAUGGGGGGAACCCUGAUGCAGCGACGCCGCGUGGGUGAAGGAGCACCUCGGUGCGUAAAGCCCUAUCGGCAGGGAAGAAAAGCGAACAGGUUCGCCUGGACGGUACCUGACUAAGAAGCCCCGGCUAACUACGGGCCAGCAGCCGCGGUAAUACGUAGGGGGCAAGCGUUGUCCGGAAUCAUUGGGCGUAAAGAGUUCGUAGGCGGCAUGUAAAGUCAGGUGUUAAAGGCGCAGGCUCAACCUGUGUAUGGCACUUGAUACUUGCAAGCUGGAAUGCGGUAGAGGUAAAGGGAAUUCCUGGUGUAGCGGUGAAAUGCUUAGAUAUCAGGAGGAACAUCGGUGGCGUAAGCGCUUUACUGGGCCGUAAUUGACGCUGAGGAACGAAAGCCAGGGUAGCAAAUGGGAUUAGAUACCCUUGUA
This 462-nucleotide ribosomal RNA is filed under the name uncultured bacterium. Its description in RNAcentral is "bacterial SSU rRNA". It matches the Rfam family "Bacterial small subunit ribosomal RNA", at positions 329 to 792 of the family's 1533-position model. The record is from RNAcentral.